This 294-nucleotide ribosomal RNA is filed under the name Escherichia albertii. Its description in RNAcentral is "partial 23S ribosomal RNA". It matches the Rfam family "Bacterial large subunit ribosomal RNA", at positions 1 to 291 of the family's 2925-position model. Lineage: Bacteria; Pseudomonadati; Pseudomonadota; Gammaproteobacteria; Enterobacterales; Enterobacteriaceae. The record is from RNAcentral.
GGUUAAGCGACUAAGCGUACACGGUGGAUGCCCUGGCAGUCAGAGGCGAUGAAGGACGUGCUAAUCUGCGAAAAGCGUCGGUAAGGUGAUAUGAACCGUUAUAACCGGCGAUGUCCGAAUGGGGAAACCCAGUGUGUUUCGACACACUAUCAUUAACUGAAUUCAUAGGUUAAUGAGGCGAACCGGGGGAACUGAAACAUCUAAGUACCCCGAGGAAAAGAAAUCAACCGAGAUUCCCCCAGUAGCGGCGAGCGAACGGGGAGGAGCCCAGAGCCUGAAUCAGUGUGUGUGUUA